CCGCAUAUAGGGUUGACUUUCCCUUGUGCACGUGAGCGUACAAACCAUCGUUUAGUUUUAGAAUGUUGACUCAUACUUCGCUUGGGAAUAUCAAACAUUUCGCAAGAUUGGUCUUCGUAUCAACGGUAGUUCAAUGCUAUCAGAAUUUAUGUCACUUUUGCUGAUGAGCUGGCCGUCUCUUUCAAGUGCAGAAAGAGCAGAUUUGUUGAAAAACAUAAUAAGGAUGCCUUAAUUGCAAAGUUUACGUGUAUUAGUAUUCCAAGGAGUUGGUUUGGUCAUGCGAACUCUAGAUUGAAUUGGGUGUUUAGUCUUGCUGGAGUUGCAUAACUUUGAGCUUUGAUAGCACAUUCCUGCAUUGACAGAAUUGCACUUGCUUCACGUAAUUUUGUCCAAACAUGUUGAAUAGCAUCUACAUUAUGACAUUCGGAUAUUUGAAGACUCAAACGGUGUAAGUGACUUUGAAAUUUCUGUUGAAUGCUCACUAUGUCUUUCCUACCGGUACCAAACUUGCUUACGACAACAUCCCAACCAACAUCUGGCAUAUCAUCUGAAUCAGAGACAUUCUCAGUGUUGUCAUUGGCUCCUGUCUUGCUUUGGUCUUGUGAUUGGGCUUCACUCUUAUU
Corticium candelabrum is the source of this 623-nucleotide long non-coding RNA. RefSeq lists it as uncharacterized. The record is from RefSeq and is a predicted model, not a curated record. Lineage: Eukaryota; Metazoa; Porifera; Homoscleromorpha; Homosclerophorida; Plakinidae. The transcript has 5 exons.